Molecule: long non-coding RNA, 1403 nt
Organism: Cervus elaphus (red deer)
Lineage: Eukaryota; Metazoa; Chordata; Mammalia; Artiodactyla; Cervidae
Exons: 3
Source: RefSeq, a predicted model, not a curated record
CGGCGCUCACGCGUCAGAAGGCUCUGGGCGCAACCACUGCCUUGGUGAAAUCAGAAGCCCGGAGUCACAGUGGAUCACAAUGGAUCCAUUCACAAUGGAUCGUGCUAUUGGACCGUGUCGGGGGGCGGAGUCUUCAAAAUCCAGAAAGCAUUUUACACUUACAGCACACCCCAGUCGGACUAGCCAGAUUUCACAUGCUCAGUGGCUGCACAUGACUCGUGGCUGCCACACCGGUCAGCACAGAUCUCGAGUUCGCCCUUGAAAGUGGGGUUAGGCUUGCCACCAAGGAGUGCAUCUCCCCAGACUCCCUGGGCACCCCAGUGUGUGGCUCUCUCUUCCUACAGUGGAGAUCUGUUAGACCUGGAGAACAAAAGGUGUCUGUGCGGUACUGACGUCUCCUGACAGAUCGUUCCAGUUAUGUUAUCACAUGUCUGCUUUGAAGUACUGAGUCUGCUUCUCUUGAAAGAAAGUGGUAAUUAUUCUGUGAGCUGUCUGAUCUACUACAGCUCAUGUUUGGGAACUUUCUGGGCCUGCACACACCUGACCCCGUCUUUAUUAUGGCUGAUGGGAGGGUCUGCUCAGCUAGGGCCCUUGGCCUACUGUGCUAACGAUGGGGCUGCUUUCCUGGAAAGAUCUCUGAGCCCCCAAAAUGGUUGUUUGUGUAUGGAUGGGAAACAAUGAAAGAGCAAAACUUUUCCUAUAGGAGGGUCCCGAGGCAAAUACUAUUGCCCUAAAACUUUCAGUGGCCGAGCCAGAGACAAGGGGGAAAGUCACCUGUUUUAAUAACUCAGUAGAUCUAGAAUACAUUCUCCUGUGUGUUUGUUUAUGCACUUAGAUGUGCCUCAUGGCUUCCCAGGGUGCUGUCGUUCUACUGGUCGGUGGAUUGAGAACCUGAAUUCCCCUGAUCCCUUGUUGGGGUCCUCUCCAUUGAGACAGAAGGUGGGGUCAGUAAUCACUGCCUGUAUGCUCCACUUCCCACUGUCAGGCUGAGCUGUGGCUGACACUAGGUUGUGGCAGGGUUCUACUGCCUUCUAUUUUUUUAGUAUUUACUUAUUUGGCUCCUCUUAGUUGUGACACGUGGGAUAUUCAGUCUCUGUUGCAGCAUGUGGGAUGUAGUUCCCUGAUCAGGGAUUGAACCCAGGCCCCAUGCAUGGGGGACGUGUCAUCUUCACCACUGAACCACUAGGUCAGUCCCCCGCCUUCGGUUUUUUAACACACUUGGGAGAAUCAUGAGUGAAGGAAGUUGUGCACCACAGUCCUUCACUGCCUUCUAACAUGAAUACUGCUUGUUAACGUCAUGGGGAACUUCUCUGGGCUAAAAAGAGGCUUGACAUAGGUGAACCCAGCAAAGUGGAGGUUAUUAUCAUGGGGAAAUGAGACCAUGGGAGGGAGGCUCACAGAAU